This 651-nucleotide long non-coding RNA is filed under the name Fukomys damarensis (Damara mole-rat). Its description in RNAcentral is "lncRNA (ENSFDAG00000025139.1)". Lineage: Eukaryota; Metazoa; Chordata; Mammalia; Rodentia; Bathyergidae. The record is from RNAcentral.
GAUAUAUGAAUGUACUUUGACCUGAAACUAUUUGUUGGGUAAAGCUUUUUGCUUUUGAAGGAUAUGUGACCACCCUCCUCUCAAACUUGCCUGACAGGUUGUCUUCCAGAGGAGAGAGGGAGGAACUGGAUUAUCAGACAUUGAUGAUCCUGAUAGAGAGUCCUGCUUUCCUCAGAUCAACUGCUCAGAAGCUUCUAGAUGAUUGGAGAACACCACUGAGGAAGCAGGCCGAGGCAUUAAAUGAAGCGUGUGAACGAAGGAGAAGCAUCUUCUGGAAACAGAAUGGAUAGGAGGGCACUGCUGUGGGCUCAGGACUGGCUGCGUGCCUCCGCAGGACUCCUCUUGUCUGCAGAAACAGCCUUCCUUGACGAUUUAUAGUCUUUAUGAGAGAAUAAUUAUUUUGUGAAGACAAAUGUGGAUACAGGCUGAGUACAUUGGGUGCAAACUUCCUCACUGUUUCACAGUGGAGCCUGACAGCCAUGCGCUCUUUCUUAAGGGCAUAUUGGUGGUGUGUGAGCAGUUACUUCAAUUUAAGAGUCUGCUAUUAACAAACCUAAAGAACAUGAAGACCCGAGGAGUGACCCACCAGCUGUGAGACAAAUAGAGCCCUGGGGGUCAUCUUCCAUGGCCAGGUGCUUAAUUUUUUGUUAG